UACACCUAGCUCCGCGCUCCACAAAGUUCCAGAGAUCCGGGCGGAACCAGACUUCCUUCCAUUAUCCUGUAUACAGGAUAAGUCCGCAAUCUCUCCCUCCCACAGGAGAAGGUAACAAUAGUUCGCUCCGCAAUGUUCCAGAGAUCCGGGCGGAACCAGACUUCCUUCCAUUAUCCUGUAUACAGGAUAAGUCCGCAAUCUCUCUCCCUUAGACUAA
This is a long non-coding RNA of Eurytemora carolleeae, 217 nucleotides long. RefSeq lists it as uncharacterized. The record is from RefSeq and is a predicted model, not a curated record. The transcript is spliced from 2 exons. NCBI's taxonomy places the organism in Eukaryota, Metazoa, Arthropoda, Copepoda, Calanoida, Temoridae.